Molecule: ribosomal RNA, 2908 nt
Filed under: Escherichia coli O111:H8 str. CVM9634
Lineage: Bacteria; Pseudomonadati; Pseudomonadota; Gammaproteobacteria; Enterobacterales; Enterobacteriaceae
Description: bacterial LSU rRNA
Rfam family: Bacterial large subunit ribosomal RNA
Source: RNAcentral
GGUUAAGCGACUAAGCGUACACGGUGGAUGCCCUGGCAGUCAGAGGCGAUGAAGGACGUGCUAAUCUGCGAUAAGCGUCGGUAAGGUGAUAUGAACCGUUAUAACCGGCGAUUUCCGAAUGGGGAAACCCAGUGUGAUUCGUCACACUAUCAUUAACUGAAUCCAUAGGUUAAUGAGGCGAACCGGGGGAACUGAAACAUCUAAGUACCCCGAGGAAAAGAAAUCAACCGAGAUUCCCCCAGUAGCGGCGAGCGAACGGGGAGGAGCCCAGAGCCUGAAUCAGUGUGUGUGUUAGUGGAAGCGUCUGGAAAGGCGCGCGAUACAGGGUGACAGCCCCGUACACAAAAAUGCACAUGCUGUGAGCUCGAUGAGUAGGGCGGGACACGUGGUAUCCUGUCUGAAUAUGGGGGGACCAUCCUCCAAGGCUAAAUACUCCUGACUGACCGAUAGUGAACCAGUACCGUGAGGGAAAGGCGAAAAGAACCCCGGCGAGGGGAGUGAAAAAGAACCUGAAACCGUGUACGUACAAGCAGUGGGAGCACAGAGCAAUCUGUGUGACUGCGUACCUUUUGUAUAAUGGGUCAGCGACUUAUAUUCUGUAGCAAGGUUAACCGAAUAGGGGAGCCGAAGGGAAACCGAGUCUUAACUGGGCGUUAAGUUGCAGGGUAUAGACCCGAAACCCGGUGAUCUAGCCAUGGGCAGGUUGAAGGUUGGGUAACACUAACUGGAGGACCGAACCGACUAAUGUUGAAAAAUUAGCGGAUGACUUGUGGCUGGGGGUGAAAGGCCAAUCAAACCGGGAGAUAGCUGGUUCUCCCCGAAAGCUAUUUAGGUAGCGCCUCGUGAAUUCAUCUCCGGGGGUAGAGCACUGUUUCGGCAAGGGGGUCAUCCCGACUUACCAACCCGAUGCAAACUGCGAAUACCGGAGAAUGUUAUCACGGGAGACACACGGCGGGUGCUAACGUCCGUCGUGAAGAGGGAAACAACCCAGACCGCCAGCUAAGGUCCCAAAGUCAUGGUUAAGUGGGAAACGAUGUGGGAAGGCCCAGACAGCCAGGAUGUUGGCUUAGAAGCAGCCAUCAUUUAAAGAAAGCGUAAUAGCUCACUGGUCGAGUCGGCCUGCGCGGAAGAUGUAACGGGGCUAAACCAUGCACCGAAGCUGCGGCAGCGACGCUGAUGCGUUGUUGGGUAGGGGAGCGUUCUGUAAGCCUGUGAAGGUGUGCUGUGAGGCAUGCUGGAGGUAUCAGAAGUGCGAAUGCUGACAUAAGUAACGAUAAAGCGGGUGAAAAGCCCGCUCGCCGGAAGACCAAGGGUUCCUGUCCAACGUUAAUCGGGGCAGGGUGAGUCGACCCCUAAGGCGAGGCCGAAAGGCGUAGUCGAUGGGAAACAGGUUAAUAUUCCUGUACUUGGUGUUACUGCGAAGGGGGGACGGAGAAGGCUAUGUUGGCCGGGCGACGGUUGUCCCGGUUUAAGCGUGUAGGCUGGUUUUCCAGGCAAAUCCGGAAAACUAAGGCUGAGGCGUGAUGACGAGGCACUACGGUGCUGAAGCAACAAAUGCCCUGCUUCCAGGAAAAGCCUCUAAGCAUCAGGUAACAUCAAAUCGUACCCCAAACCGACACAGGUGGUCAGGUAGAGAAUACCAAGGCGCUUGAGAGAACUCGGGUGAAGGAACUAGGCAAAAUGGUGCCGUAACUUCGGGAGAAGGCACGCUGAUAUGUAGGUGAAGUCCCUCGCGGAUGGAGCUGAAAUCAGUCGAAGAUACCAGCUGGCUGCAACUGUUUAUUAAAAACACAGCACUGUGCAAACACGAAAGUGGACGUAUACGGUGUGACGCCUGCCCGGUGCCGGAAGGUUAAUUGAUGGGGUCAGCGCAAGCGAAGCUCUUGAUCGAAGCCCCGGUAAACGGCGGCCGUAACUAUAACGGUCCUAAGGUAGCGAAAUUCCUUGUCGGGUAAGUUCCGACCUGCACGAAUGGCGUAAUGAUGGCCAGGCUGUCUCCACCCGAGACUCAGUGAAAUUGAACUCGCUGUGAAGAUGCAGUGUACCCGCGGCAAGACGGAAAGACCCCGUGAACCUUUACUAUAGCUUGACACUGAACAUUGAGCCUUGAUGUGUAGGAUAGGUGGGAGGCUUUGAAGUGUGGACGCCAGUCUGCAUGGAGCCGACCUUGAAAUACCACCCUUUAAUGUUUGAUGUUCUAACGUUGACCCGUAAUCCGGGUUGCGGACAGUGUCUGGUGGGUAGUUUGACUGGGGCGGUCUCCUCCUAAAGAGUAACGGAGGAGCACGAAGGUUGGCUAAUCCUGGUCGGACAUCAGGAGGUUAGUGCAAUGGCAUAAGCCAGCUUGACUGCGAGCGUGACGGCGCGAGCAGGUGCGAAAGCAGGUCAUAGUGAUCCGGUGGUUCUGAAUGGAAGGGCCAUCGCUCAACGGAUAAAAGGUACUCCGGGGAUAACAGGCUGAUACCGCCCAAGAGUUCAUAUCGACGGCGGUGUUUGGCACCUCGAUGUCGGCUCAUCACAUCCUGGGGCUGAAGUAGGUCCCAAGGGUAUGGCUGUUCGCCAUUUAAAGUGGUACGCGAGCUGGGUUUAGAACGUCGUGAGACAGUUCGGUCCCUAUCUGCCGUGGGCGCUGGAGAACUGAGGGGGGCUGCUCCUAGUACGAGAGGACCGGAGUGGACGCAUCACUGGUGUUCGGGUUGUCAUGCCAAUGGCACUGCCCGGUAGCUAAAUGCGGAAGAGAUAAGUGCUGAAAGCAUCUAAGCACGAAACUUGCCCCGAGAUGAGUUCUCCCUGACUCCUUGAGAGUCCUGAAGGAACGUUGAAGACGACGACGUUGAUAGGCCGGAUGUGUAAGCGCAGCGAUGCGUUGAGCUAACCGGUACUAAUGAACCGUGAGGCUUAACCUUAC